Molecule: long non-coding RNA, 17664 nt
Organism: Loxodonta africana (African savanna elephant)
Lineage: Eukaryota; Metazoa; Chordata; Mammalia; Proboscidea; Elephantidae
Exons: 3
Source: RefSeq, a predicted model, not a curated record
CGGCGGGCUUGGCCCGGGUCCUGCCGCCCAGGAGCUCUGCUUCCUUAACACCCUGACCUUUCCCAAGAGGAGAAAGAAAUGACCAAUUUCCAGGAAAGAAACUUUAUGACUGUGCUGAGUGUGGUAAGAGCUUCAGUAGAGCACAGACCUUCGCUAUCAUCAGAGGAUUCACACAGGAGAGAAACCUUUCGUAUGUGAUACGUGCGGCAAGGGCUUCAGUUAUAACACAAACCUCUGUGUUCAUCAGAGAAUUCACACAGGAGAGAAGCCUUUUAAGUGUGAGGAGAGUGGCAAGGGCUUCAAACAGAGCUCCAAUCUUCGCAUUCACAGUCCAUACAAGAGAGAAACCUUUCGUGUGUGAUACCUGUGGCAAAGGGUUCAGUUGUAACACAAAUCUCCGUGUUCAUCAGAGAGUCCAUACAGGAGAGAAACCUUUUAAAUGUGAAGAAUGUGCUAAAGGCUUCCAUCAGAGCUCCAAUCUUUGCAUUCAGCAAAGAGUCCACACUGGAGAGAAACUCUACAAAUGUGAUAAGUGUGGUAGAGGCUUCAGUAAGAGCAUAUAUCUUCAAGUACAUCACAGAGUUCACGUGAGAGAAACUGUUUAAAUGUGAAACAUGUGGCAAGGGCUUCAGUUAAAACUCAAACCUUCAUGUUCAUCAGAAAGUCCACACAAGAGAGAAACCUAUACUUGUGAAGAGUGUGGUGAGAACUUCAGUCAGAGCUGCAGCCUUCAAGUUUGCCAGGGUAUGAAACUGGAGAAAAACUCUACAAAUGUGAUGUGCUUGAUAAGGGCUGCAGUCAGAACAUAGGCUUUGAGUUCAUCAAAGAAUUCACACAGAAAAAAAAAACCCAUUUAUAUGUGAUAAGUGUGGUAAGGGCCUCAUAAAGAGCGCUAAGCAAGUCCACUUAGGAGGGGAAUGUUACAAAUGGAUGUAAUAAGAGUCUCAUUUGGAACACAGACCUUCCGUAUCAUCAGAGUCCACAGACAAGAAAAACCAUUCAAAUGCAGUACGUGUCAUAAGGGCUUCCGUUAUAACAUGAGCCUUCAUCAGAGUUGAGCUCAAGUCUUCACAUCCAUCAGAUUCCAUGUGGAAGAAAAAUACUACAAGCGUGGAGAGUGUGGUGACUUCAGCUGGAGCACAAAUCUGUUCCUUCACCAGAGAUCCUGUGUCUCCCACUAGCCUCUGAGCUCCAGGCAAGCACACUAUUUAGGCUCUGCUCACCGCUGUAUCUCCAGCUCCUAGGGUAAUACCUGGCACAGAGUAGCCAUCAGCAAAUACUUGUUGAAUGAGAAUCUAUGUGGGAGAGAUCGCCUAUUCAUGUUUUAUGUGUGGUAGUGGCUUCAGAGUCUACACAUUGAAACCUUUUAAAAAUAUGUAUUAAAAAUUUCAUCAGAUUACAGUUUUCAUCUGUAGGAGAGAAAGCCUGUUAACUUGAUAAGUAUGGCAUUGCAUUGGACUUUAAUCAGAGAGAAAUAGUGAUAUUAUUAAAUCAGUAUAGUAAAUUUAAAAUUACAUAUCUUUAAUAUAAGACAGUCCACAGGGGGAACCCAAAAAGCUGUGUCAAGCAUAAGAAACUAGUCAAAACUCAUGCAUUAAAACGUGUAUCUAAUUGUUAUUCAGGAAGAAAAAAGUCCUGUGAAUGCUCUAAAUGAAAUUAUGUGUCAGGCUCUGGACCCAGCACCUUUUCCUAAGGUUGACUCAACAGAAUCUGGUAGCAGUAGGUAUUCUUUUGUUUUAUAUUUUAUCUCAAAGAGGCAUAUGUUGACCUCAACCAGUGAGUUUUCUAGGGCUAGUGACUAACAAGGUCUUUCUCUUGGGGAAGACACCCCUUAUCUUGCAAAGCGCCUAUAGCCCUAACCUGUCUCCCUACCCAUCAUGUCACCAGGCUGUUGGAUACCUCUCGCCAUGGAUUAUAGAAAUCAUCGGAUGAGGUGUCUUCAGGGAGGGUGUCUGCAAAAGAGAUAGCUAAAGGAAGGGGCGGGUCAAGGUGUAAGGAAGAGGGUUAGAAGAGAGGAAAGCAAGUCUGAAAGGAUGGGGAAUGGGUAGAAGGAGAGGGAAAAGAACAGUGCCUGGGAGGUGGGUGGUAGAGUAAGAAGAAGGUGAAAAGCUGAGAGGCUUCUCCAAAAUUUCCCUCAAGUGGGUCAACUACCAGUACAAGACUCUCCCUUUAGGUCUGUGCUAACCAGAGAGUUGUCUGUAGUGGAUGGAGAUGGACCCUGUUGACAUCAGGACCAGUUGGAAGCAGAGAUGAAAGAGCGGCUUUGAGGGGCCUUGAAAGGUAACCUCAUGCACCAACAUUUCCCCAGGUGGACCAAAUCAGGUGGGCCCAUUGUCCCUCCAGUGGAAGGAAGAGUCAUAUAUGAAGGCAAUAAUAAGGCUGAUCCCCUUCAGCAGCCAUAUAUUAAUCAGAACAGAGCCUGAGGGAAGAAGGAAAACCUUGGGUAGCGGAGGCUAAGGAAGAUGUCAAUGACCCAGUCUCAUCACUAAGUCUGGGGAAGGAAGAGAAAAAGUUUGUCAACAUGUCUACUGAAUCCUUCACCUAAGAACAAUGUGUGGAUCCCAUCCCCCCUCAGCAGCUGCUUCUGGGAAAGAAUAUUCAAGAUUAGAGAGGUUGUUGGGCUUCUUAGGAGGACUAUUCCGCUUGACGGCACUGGGUUUGGUUUUUUUGGUAUGCCCCUUGAGCUUUCCAGACACCAUUGGCCCAGGGUGGGAAAAGGGGUCAUAUCCUGGGACUUACAGUGGUGACUGGUACCGGGGUAUCUUUGAAUGAAGGUAUUAAUUAAAUUCUCACAACUCUUAGGUUUUAUAUUUUCUUUUCCUUUUUCCUCUUUUUGCUCUCUGUGUAUCUCCUGUUUCUCUUUGCUUUUAGAUUUGAAAAAAAAGUACACUUUAAGUAUAAAAAUAUUUCAGACAUACAGAAAAAUUCAGAAAAUAUAACAAGCGACUGUUUUCCUACCAUUGAUAUAAAAUAGAUGUUAAAAAAUUUGCCAUAUUAGCUUCAGAUUUUUUUUAUUCUUUCGGUAAGGAGUAAAAUAGAACAGAUACAGCUUAAAGCCUUAUGCCUCAUCUUUUCUCUCCACUUCCUGCUCUAACAUUAUGCUCAAGUUACGGUUAUUAUUCCUGUGUAUGUUUUUGUGUUUUUAUUACGUGUUAUGUCUGUAGUAUUUUAAAAUUUUACGUAGAUUGUGGCAUAUAUUAUAUUUUUGCAAUUUGCUCCCUUUACUGCAUUACAUUCUUUAGAUUUUUAUGCUGAUACGUUGUUGUUGUUAGUUGCUGUUGAGUUGGCUCCUCCUUGUGGAGACCCCAUGUAAGGCAGAAUGAAACGUUGCCCAGCCCUGUGCUACCAUCAGGAUCACUGGUAUGUUUGCGUCCAUUGUUGUGGCCAUUGUGUCAAUCCAGCUGAUACGUUAGAACUAGUUAACGUCUUUGUUGUUCUAAGCUAUCAGUUAGAUAUUCUUUUCAAUAGAUUUAUUUGUAUAUCCCUAUGCCAGUAAUACACUUUUUGACUAUUAUGGCUUUAUGGAAAUUGUCUUGGCUGAUUUAAACCCUUUAUUCUUUCGUGUAAAUUUUAGGAUCAGUUUGUCAAAUUCCUUGAAGAAAAUCCGUUGGGUUUUUUUUUUUUUUUUCCAACUGCUUGAGUUUUUGUUGUUUGUUACUUUUUCUCCUUUCUUCCACUGGAAUAUAUUUCCUUUAUUCUCCUUUUGUUUUCCCCUAGAAGAUUAGAAGUGAAAUUUCCUCUGCUUAUGUUUUGUGUUAACAUGCAUAACUUAGCAAAGUCUAUAUUAUGCCUCUCUUUGACAAUACAGAGCAGAAUACUUUAACUCUAUUUAUCUUCCUCCCAAGUUGCAUGUUCUGAUAACAUGUAUUGUUACAUUGUGUAGUCUAACAUCAUAUUUUUAGUACAUUCUCAGUUUGUCAUUAUUAUUAUUGUUUUAAGUAGCCAGUCCAAGUUUGUAUUACCCAGCUCUUUUACCAAUUUCUUACCACUGGUUUUGUGUUUUUUCCUCCAGAGUUCAAGGUCCUCAGCCUUCCAGAGCAAAGGCAGCUUGUGUAGUGGUUGAAAGCACCAACUCUGUAACUAGACUACCUGAGUUUGGUACCCAGAUCUGUUGAUCUAAAGUUGUGUGACCUUGAGCAGUUUAUUUAAUUUCUUUGUGCCUCAAUUUCUCUGUCUGUAAAGCAGGAAUAUGUUACUAUCUACUUCAUGGGGUUGUAGAAUGAUUAAAAUUGUGCCUGGCACAUAAGCGUUAUAAAGGUAUUUGUUAUAUAAAUAAAAUAAUUACUCAGUAGUUUUUCAGCAAGAGUGUCUGAGAGUAAUAAAUUCUUUAUCUUUAUUUCUCCCUCACUCUUGAAUUUUAGUAUAUAGCUGGUAAUAGAAUUCUAAAUUGACAUUUAUUUUUCCUCAGCAAUUCAUUAACCUUUAGUGCUACAAUUGAAAUAUCUUUUAUUAGCCUAGUUGUUCUCUUUCAGGCAGUCUUUCUUUUCUCUCUGGUUGGUUUUAAGAUGACCUCUUUGUCUUUAGUGUUCUGCCAUUUUACCACAAUAUAUUUGGGUGUAGAUUUAUUUAUAUUUUUUCCAAUCAGAACACAUUGCAAUUUUACAUUUUGUUUUCUACUUAAAAAAUUUUUUUAACAUCCUUAUUUUGUCUUUCUCCUUCCUUUAGUUUUUUUUUUUUUCUAGUUUCUUAAGUUGCAUGGUUAGAGCUUAUUUAUUUUUUAGCCUUUCUUGUUUUCUAAUUAUUUAAGUUUACUCUGAGUAAUUUGGUAGCAUCUUUUCCAGAAUACACUUUGGCAAUAUGUAUCAAAAGCCUUUAAAAUGUUUAUGCCAUUUGACUUAGAAAUUUCACGUUUAAGAAUCUAUGUUAAGGAAAUAAUCAAAUGAAUUAAAGUGAUUCACAUUUAAUAGGUAUUCCUUACCAUGUUAUUUACAAAAUUUUUAAAAGAAGACAUUGCUUUAUUACAAUAGAGAUUUUUUUCUAAAUGAUAGUACUGUGUAUCUAUAUGAUACAAUAUUCUCUAGCAAGAGGAAUGAUAUUUUCAGGUAAUUUUAAUGACUUAGAAAAAUGUACAUAAUCCAGCAGAUACAAAGACAUGUACAGAGAGAAAAACUUUUCAGGAUUUUGCAAGCAAUCUCUUAAUGUUUCCCUAUGCCUAUUUACAAUAUAGGGAUAUCGAUUACAAAAUAAUACAUGCCCUUUGUAAAAUAUCAAGGCAUUAUGAAGCAAAAGCAAAUGUAUCUGGUUUAUUGUGGAGUGUCAACUCAGUGAGGUAUGUAAUGUUGUGAUAUGGUUUUAGUUUGUCCAGUCACUGCCUUCAACUCUAUUCUGUUGAUUCACCCUGAAUCAAUGAAUGCAUAAAUAAAUAUUUGGUAGGAAAGAGAGAUCUGGAGGUGGGGCUUUCGGAAAAAGGGAGGCUUUCCCUCUCACUAGAAUAGGCUCAGUUCCCUGAGGAAGAAUACAAACUGGGUAAAAGAUUAAAAACUGGUGAAAAUACUUGCAACUCAUAUCACAGACAAAGGAAUUCAUCUCCCUGGUUAUCAGAGCUCCUAGAAAUCAAGACGAAAAAGCACAAAAUCAUGAAUGAACUGUUCAGAGAUGAAGAAAUACAAAUGACCCUAAAUAUAUGAAAAGGUGCUCAACUUUUCUCAUAAUAUGAGAAAUACAAAUCAAAACCGUACUCAGAUACCAUUUCCCACUAGCAUAUUAGCAAAAUAUCAAAAAGUUUGAAAACUCAUUGUUAGUGAGGGUGUAGAGAAGCAUUGGUGCUGGGAGUGCCAGACAGAGCAACUCCUAUGGAGAGGGAUUUGACAAUGUCUACUAAAACUAUAGAUAUAUUUAUCUUUAGAUCUAGAUAUCCCACUUCUGAGAUUCUACCCCACAGAUGUACUUGAACAUGUACUUUAAAAAUAUUUGAGAUUGUUUCUAAUACUAAAAGAUGGAAAACAAUACAAAUGCCUAUUAAUAAGGGACUGGUUAAGUAAAUCGUGGUACAUCUACACAGUGGAAUACUAUGCAGCUAUAAUAAAGAGUAAGAAAAAAUUCUUACUGAAAUGGAGAGAUCUCCAAGAUACAUUAUUAAAUGAAAAGUGUUAGGGGAAGAACAAUGUGUGUGUGAUAUGAAUAUAUAAAAAACAUAAUAUAUAUAAAAAACAUUUUGUAUAAGAAGGGGAAUGAGACUCUAUACCCAUAUUUGCUUAUAUUUGUGCAAUGUCACCCUGGAAGGAUAAACAAGGAACUAAUAAAAUGGUUUCUGGGGGACCAGGGGUGGGAGGGAGGCUUCUCUGUGUACUUUUUUCUUUUUUACUUUUCAAUGUAGUUUUGAUUGUUGAAUGAUUUGAAUGCCCCAGUACCUUUUCAUUGACAUUAUAAUAUGGGCUUUCCUUAUUCAUUAUUUCAUGUGAUGAAUUAUUUUUAAUAAAAUAUUUAUAUGUAAUUUUUCCAUCUAUAGGUUAGUCUGGUUUUAUUUUUUGUGCUAUUUUAACCAGGAUUUGGUGGUAUGGUUAUGCCGUCUCCAAAGCAUAGUAAGCCAUCUAAAUAAACUAGAAAAAGGAGAACAAAAUAAACACAAAGCAGAGGCAGAAGGAAGGUUAUAAUAAUGAUAAAAGCAGACAUUAAUUAAAUUGGAAAAAGCAAUAGAGAAAAUCAAUGAAACCAAAAGAUGGUUCUUCAGAAAAAUCAAUGAAGUCGAGAAACCUUUAGCCAGACUAAGUAAGAAAAAAGAGGAAAGACACAAAUUACCAGCAUAAGGAAUGAAAGAGGGGACAUCACUACUCUUCCCAUAGACAUUAAAAGGGUAAUAAAAAAAUAUUGUGAACAUGUCUGUGCACAUACAUGCAACAAUUUAGAUGAAAUGGAUCAAUUCCUUGAAAAGACAGAAGUUAUGAAGACUCAUUCAAGAAGAAAUAAAGUGAAUAGUGCUGUAUCUAUUAAAGAAAUCUAAUCCAUAACUAAAAACCUUCCAAAUGAAACUCUACAUCAAGAUUAUUUUGUUGGUGAAUUCUACCAAACAUUUAAGGAAGAAAUGACACCAAUUCUUCACAAUCUCUCCCAGAAAAUAGAAAAGGAGAUAACACUUCCCACCUAAUUUUAUGAGGCCAGCAUUACCCUCACAUAGAAACUAGACAAAGACAGUAUAAGAAAAUAAAACUACAGGCCAAUAUCCCUCAUGAUGAUAGACAUAAAACUCCUCAAACAAAUAUUAGCAAAUCAAAUCCACCAGUACAUAAAAAGGUAGUACACCACAACCAAAUGAGGUUUAUCACAGGAAUACAAGGCUGGUUGAAUACUGGAAAAUCAAUAUAAUUCACCACAUUAAUAUACUUAACAUGGAGCCAUGGUGGCGCAGUGGUUAAAAGCUUGGCUGCUAACCAAAAGGUCGGCAGUUUGAAUCUACCGGCCACUCUUUGGAAACCCUAUUGGGCAGUUCUCUGUUCUAUAGGGUUGCUAUGAGUUGCAGCUGACUCGAUGGCAUAUAACAACAGCAAUAAUACACUUGUGAUGGUUAAGAUUUUGUGUCAGCUUGGCUGGGUCAUGAUUCUCAGUGUAUAUAUGUGAUCACUCCCGUGAUGGAAUCUGCUGUAAGUAGCCAGUCAAUUGAAAGGGAGUUUCCUUGGGCAUAUGGCCUGCAUCCAAAUAUAAGUUGAUGUUCUGGCUUUGGCCCUCUGUGGAUCCUGCAGUUGCCUCCUGUUGGUCUGACCUCCGUUUCUUGGGACUUGAGCUAGCAACUUAUCUGCCGAUCUUGACUUUUUCUCUCUCUGGACCGUAAUCACCUUUCCCUUCCACAAGACGUCACACUGGUCCAUUACGUUGAUGACGUUAUGCUGAUUGGACCUAGUAAGGAAGAAAUGUCAAUGACUCUGGACUUACUGGUAAACAUUUGCAUGCUAGAGGGAAAUUAAUCUCACAAAAAUUCAGGUACCUUCCACCUCAGUGAAAUUUCUAGGGGUCUAGUGGUGUGGGGCAUGUCGAGAUAUUCCUUCUAGAGUGAAGGAUAAGUUAUUGCAUCUGGCAGCACCCACAACUAAAAAAGGAGGCAUAGUGCCUAGCAGACCUCUGGAUUUUGGAGGCAACAUAUUCCUCAUUAGGGUGUGCUACUCCAGCCUAUUUAUCAAGUGACUUGAAAAGCUGCUAGUUUUUAGUGGGGCCCAGAGCAAGAGAAGGCUCUACAACAGGUUCAGGCUGCUGUGCAAGCCACUCUGCCACUUGGGCCAUAUGAUCCAGCUGAUCCAAUGGUGCUUGAAGUGUCAGUGGCAGAUAGAGAUGCUGUUUGGAGUCUUUGACAGGCCCCUAUUGGUGAAUCACAGCGUAGACCCUUGGGAUUUUGGAGCAAAGCCCUGCCAUCCUCUGCAGAUAACUAUUCUUUUGAGAAAUAGCUUUUGGCUUGUUACUGGGCUUUAGUAGAGACUGAACGCUUAGCCAAGGGACACAAAGUCACCAUGUGGCUUGAGCUGCCCAUCAUGAGCUGGGUGUUGUCUGACCCACAGAGUCAUAAAGUUGGACGUGCACAGCAGCACCCCAUCAUUAAAUGGAAGUGGUAUAUACGAGAUCGGGCCCGAGUAGGACCUGAAGGCACAAGUUGCACAAGGACGUGGCCCAAAUGCCCAUGGUCUCCACUCCUGUCACAGUGUUUUCCAUCCCCCAGUCUGCACCUAUGGCCUCAUGGGGAGUUCUUCAUGAUCAAUUGACGGAGGAAAACUUGUGCCUGGUUUACAGAUGGUUCUGCAUGACAGGUGGGCACCACUCGAAAGUGGACAGCGGCAGCACUACAGCCCCUUUCUCGGACCUACCUGAAGGACAGUGGGGAAGGGAAACCCUCCCAAUGGGCAGAACUUCCAGCAAUGCAGCUGGUUGUUCACUUUGCUUGGAAGAAGGAAUGGCCAGAUGUGCAACUGUAUACUGAUUCAUGGGCUGUGGCCAAUGGUUUGGCUGGAUGGUCAGGGACUUGGAAGUAAUGUGAUUGGAAAAUUUGAGACAAGGAUUUAUGCGGAAGAGGUAACUGGAUAGACCUCUGUGAAUGGGCCAAAGAAGUGAUGAUAUUUGUCUCAUGUGAAUGCUUACCCAAGGAUGACCUCAACAGAGGAUGAUUUUAACAAUCAAGUGGAUAGGAUGAUGUGUUUUGUGGAAACCACUCAUCUUCUUUCCCCAGCUACUCCUGUCAUUGCUGAAUGGGCUCAUGAACAAAGUGGCCAUGGUUGCUUCAGGAUGAUGAGGAACAUGGUAAGACCAGUGAACUCCAUGAGCAUGCGCCCACUGCCACAUUUCAUUUGCUGUGAAGUGAAUUGCUUGACCAGAAGUAAUGCUAAGUGGGAUACCAUGACAGUGGAUAAGGCAUUCUGUAAAUCCACAAAUGGUAGUUUCCAGCAACAUGGACUUCCACUCACCAAGGCCGACUUGGCUACAGCCACAGCUGAGUGCCCAAUCUGCCAGCAGCAAAGGCCAACAUGAGUCCCUGUUAUGGCACCAUCCCUUGAGGCAAUCAGACAGCAACCUGGUGACAAGUUGAUUACAUUGGACCACUUUCAUCAUGGAAAGGACAGCAUUUUGUUCUUACUGGAAUAGACACUCUGAAUAUGGAUUUGCCUUCCCUAUAUGCAAUACUUCUGCCAAAACUACCAUUUGUGGAUUUACAGAAUGCCUUAUCCACUGUCAUGGUAUCCCACUUAGCAUUACUUCUGGUCAAGCGAUUCACUUCACAGCAAAUGAAAUGUGGCAUUGGGUGCAUGCUCAUGGAGUUCACUGGUCUUACCAUGUUCCUCAUCAUUCUGAAGCAAAUGACUUGCUAGAAUGAUGGAAUGGCCUUCUAAAGACACAAUUACGGCACCAGCUAGGUGGUGAUACCUUGCAGGGUUGGGGCAGUGUUAUCCAGGAGGCUGUAUAACCCAUAGCCAGGAUUCAUGGGUCUGGGAAUCAAGGGGUGGAAAUGGGAGCGACACCACUCACUAUUACCCCUAGUGGCCCACUCACAAGAUUUUUGCUUCCUGUCCCUGUGAUGUUAUGCUCUGCGGGUCUAGAGGUCUUAGUUCCAAAGGAAGGAAUGCUCCUACCUGGAGACACAUCACUGAUUGCAUUGAGCUGGAAGCUAAGAAUGCCACCUGGCCACUUUGGGCUCCUUAUUCCUCUGCAUCUACAGGCAAAGAAGGGAGUUACCAUACUGGCUGGUGUGACUCAUCCUGAUUACCAAGGGGAUUGAUAUUACAUAAGGGAGGUAAAGAAGAGUAUGUCUGGAAUGCAGGAGAUCCCUUAGUACAACUAUGCCCUGUGAUUAAAGUUAAUGGAAAACUGUAGAACCCAGUUCUGACAUGACUACUAAUGGCUCAGACCCUUCAGGAAAUCAUCCUCUUUUGAGGUCACCCUUGAGUAAGCAUUCACAUGAGACACAGAUAUUGUCACUUCUUUGGCCCAUUCACAGAAGUCUAUCCACUUACCUCUUCCCCAUAAAUCCUUGUCUCCAAUUUUCCAAUCAUGUUACUUCCAAGUCCCUGACCAUCCAGCCAAACAAUUGGGCACAGCCCAGAUAAAGAACCACAACCAGCUGAGGUGCUUGCCGAAGGGAAUAUGGGAUGGGUGGUGGAAGAAGGUAGCUCUAAAUACCAGUUACGGCCACGUGAUCAGUUGCAGAAAUGAGGAGUGUAAUUGUUAUUACUAUUUCUGCUUUGCAUGUUGCAUCAAAUAUUUUUGCUUUCUUAUAAAAUAUAAGAUGUAAACAGGGCUAGUGCAUUUUCAGGUGUAUGUGUGUUCGUUGUAUCAUGUAAGUGAAAGUAUGACUUUAUACUUAUCUUUAUUCAGAGAUUAUGUAUGGUUUUAGGAGACAUUUACAGGUGCCAAGUUGACAAGGGCUGGACUGUGAUGGUUAAGAUUGUGUGUCAACUUGGCUGGGCCAUGAUUCUCAGUGUUUUGGCAGUGGUGUGAUGUUGUGGUCACUUCCCUGCUAAGAUUUGAUAUAUGAUCACCCUCAUGAUGGGCAGACGUUCUGGCAGGGCUCCAGGGCUUUUGCUCAUUCUAGGUCCUGCAGCGGGCUCCUGUUCGUCUGACCUCUGGUUCUCGAGACUUGAGAUAGCAGCUUUCCUGAGAUCUUGCCUGCUGAUCUUGGGAUUCAUUGAUCUUCACAGCCUGUGAGCAAGAACCUUGCUCCCAGACCUGCUGAUCUGGGAUUCACCAGACCCUGUGGCUACGUGAAUCAUGAGAAGCCUCUAUCCUGAUCCACAGACUUGGGACGUUACAGCCUCUACAACUACAUGAGCCAUUUCCUUGAUAUAAAUGUCUCUUUCUAUAUAUAUUUAUACACAUUACUGGUUUUGUUUCUCUAGGGAACCCAGCCUAAGACAGCAGCUAUGGAAUGAAGCCCAGGAAUCUGCAUUUUACAUACUCCCCUUUCCCCUGGUUAUUAUUUUGUACCCUAAAGUUAUUGUACACUAAAUAUUAGAUUACUAUUUAUACUCUAGUACACACCUGGAGUAAUUCUGAUAUAGGUGGUCUGCAAACCACAUGUUGAAAAACAAGAAUACUCAUGUAAGAGAUGUUAAAGUAGAACCUUUCACAUAUCUCAAAUAAGACAAGAUUUCACACAAUGCAUAGAACAUCAUUAUCCAGGAAAAAGCAGCAUGUGUUACUUCCCUCCAUGAUCAUUUGUGUUCUUGGCAGAAUCUUGUACCACAGGAUGAGUCAUGUUAUGAACUCACCUCUCCAUGAGGUUUUUUGUCUCCUAAUGGGUCCCGCAUGCCCCAUAAUAGAUCUUUUGGUUUUGAUUGUUCUUUCUGGUGCAAUAUUCAUCAAAUCUCUACAUUCUUUUUCAACUCUUUUUGUUGCUUCUUCAUAAACAGAACCUUAAGGUAACCUUGUAACGUUAAAAUACUUGACAGUACACUAGUGUUCAUUGUAGCACAACUCACAAUAGCCAAAAGGUGGAAACAGCCCAUCUACAGAAGAAUGGAUAAACAAAAUGUGGUAUAAACAUAUAAUGGAAUAUUAUGCAGCCUGUCUUAGGCUGGGUUCUCUAGAGAAGCAAAACCAGUAAAGCAUAUGAAUAUAUAAAACUCCACAAUGAAUUCUACGGAAGCUCUUACCACACUCUUCACAUAUACAGGGUUCUCCCCUGUGUGAAUUGACUGAAGAACUCAAAGACCCAGACUCUGGGUAAAGCCCUUACCACACUCACAGAGUUUCUCUCCUUUGUGAAAUGUCUGAACUUAAAGCUAUGUGCUAAAGGGUUCAGUGAUAACUGAGUCAUAACACAUGUUAUUUUUCUUCUCUGUGAAUUGUUUUAUAUCCUUGUAAGUUUGAGUUAUUAUAAAGGAUUUUGCCACAGCUACUACAAAUUUAGAAUUUCUCUUCUCUGUUACUUCUUUGGUGCCUCUUUGUGACAAAUUGUGAUUUCCAAUUAUAAAUGUUCUUAUACCUAUAUACGUAGAUUUGGAUUAGGUUACUUAGCCAUUAGGUAAUGGAUGGUUUUUCUCUAUAAUGUCAGACAACAGUUGACUGUGGAGCUUCUUUGAACAAGUUCUCUGGUAGAGGUUCCCCCCCCCACACCCCAUUACUCUUCCUUCAACAUUUUUCUGGGUCCCAAAGUAGUCUUUGCUGCCUGGAGACUUUUGGGCUUCACUCACAUAGGAUUUUAUACAAGACCCCGAGUUUUUUCCUAGCUUUAUUGCAUUUGCUGACACUGCCAAUGUGGCAUUGAAUAGGAGGAAAACAUUCCAUCUCUCACUAUUAUGUACGAUGUAAGCUAUGGAUUUUUUGUAGAAGCAUUUACCAGAUUGAGUAAAAGUUAAGAGGUUGGCGGCUAACCAAAAGGUCAAGAGUUAGGAUCCUCUAUGGGGCAGUUCUACAUGAGCUGGAAUCAACUCAACAGCAAUGGGUUUGGUUUCGAUUUGGUUUACCAAAUUGAAGAAAUUUUCUUCUAUUCCUAGCUUGUUUUUAUUAUGCAUGUGCGAAUUGUUAAAUGCUUUUGCUGCAUCUAUUGAUACGAUCACAUGGUUUUUCUUGUUAAGUAUUGUCUUAGGCUGAGUUCUCUAGGGAAGCAAAACCAGUAAAGUGUAUGAAUAUAUAGAGAGAUUUAUAUCAAGGAAAUGGCUCAUGCGAUUGUAGAGGCUGGAAUGUCGCAAGUCUGCAGCUCAGGAUAGAGGCUGAUCACAUAGGCACAGGGGCUGGUGAACCCAAGAUCGGCAGGUCAGAGAGCAGGGCUCUGGUUCACAGGCUGUGAAGAUCAACGAAUCCCGAGAUCAGCAGAUAAGCAGAUAAGUCCCAAGAAAUGGAGGUCAGAGGAACAGGAGGCAGCUGCAGGAUCCAGAGAGGGCAAAAGCAAGAAUGUCCAUUUAUAUUUGGAUGCAGACCACAUGUCCAGGGAAGGAAACUCGCCUUCAACUAAUUAGCUACUCACAGCAGAUCCCAUCAUGGGGGUGAUCACACAUCAAAUCUCGAGAAGAAAGUGACCACAACAUCGCAUGACUCCAUAAACACUGAGCAUCAUGGCCCAGCCAAAUUGACACACAGUCUUAACCAUCACAGCUAUUUAAUCAGUCUGUAGGUGUGGGAACCACAGCUCUGCAUUUUCAAAUGCUCUUCCCCUCCUUGGAGGUGAUAUGGUAUAUUAAAGUUGGAGAAUUAUUGCCCUAUAGGGUAUUUGGGUAAGGUUAAGAAAAUCUUAGGUGGCAAUUUUGCUACUAUCCUGAAUCCACUGGAUAGAGAUUUUUACCAAUGAACUGGUUGAAGUCAGAAAGUGAAAUUUAGGAGCUAGAAAAUGCAAGUCAGUUAGUCCAAGGAAAUAUUAACAAAUUGCUAUAUGAUAUCACCUAUGAUGAGAUGGGUGAUAAUCACAAAUGAACACCAAUGGGGACAAGCAGCCACAACUCUGCUUCAAACAGCAUUAAACAUGGUUGUGUGUGAAUACAGUACUUGAUAAGGGAUAUCUGGCUUGAGUUUCUUAUAUAUGAAAAAUAAAAACCAGAUUGAGGAGCUCCUAUAUUAAAUAGGAUAGUGGUUAAAUUAUCCUUAGUGCAGUGAUGAUCGAAUCAGAAAUAUUAGCAUAAGUUCCAUCUGUUACUGAAAUAAUCUGUGCCACCUUUGGCAUCAGCUUAUUUACUACAAAUAGUCAUAAGGCAUGGCAUGAAUAUACAAUUUAUACUCUAAUCUGAAUCUGUAUCAGUGAUUCCCAAAAUUGAUUGGGCAUCAGAAUCAAUGCUACACAGCUGUUAGAAAUAUGAUUAUCCUGGGCUCCACCCCAGGAGGCUGUAAUUGAGCGUUCUGUGAGGAGGCAUGACUAAGCAUCGAAAUUCUAGAUUUGGGAGCUACUGUUUUAUACUCCUUUACUAAAUGGAACCUGGGCUUCCUAGAGGCUGGCUAGUUCAGAGUCUUGGUCAUGGAAGUUAAGAUGGGGCCUGGAACAUCCUGUUGGAAGGCACUGGACUGAUGCUUUCAGAGUUUCCGGGAUUAGUAAGUAAGGGAAGCAAAGGAACCAGAUGAGAAGAGGAUUUACACUUGUGAGAACAGUCAGGCAAUGACAGAUUGAGUUUUUAAAGCAAUCUAUGAUUACUCUGCCUUGGGUGCAAUAUGUUCCACAAGUACUAUUUAAAGGAUAUAAAAAUAAUUUUGCACUUGUCAGCAGUUACUCCCAGAAAAAUGUUUCUGGUACUGGAACAUUUUGCUCUACUAAGUAAGAAGGCUGUUGGUCCUGUGAUAAAUAAGCCCCCUCUUUUUGACAUGGUAUGGAAAUGAGUGAACCAAUAGGCUUCAAGCACUUACUUCCAGCUUCUGAUAUAGGAACCUUAAGUGGGGCUCUGAUACUUUUUCAGAGACAUUCAGUAGGGCCCUCAAUAAAGAACAAGUGUAUGCUUCUGAAAAUAGGCUGGGAAAGGGUGAAGAAACCACAGAGGACUGAGCAGCUGUCAAGGACAGGGCUACUGUGGUAUCCAACUGUUUUGAUAACACUUCAAGACAUUUAACAGUUGGCUUCCCUUAAACCAGCAAACCACUAAGUGUGGGGGCCCUUCAGUGGACAAAUUAUGGCCAUGAGAUGCCUCCUCAACAAGUGAUUUACUAGCCACAUUUGCCUGGAAGCCAGGCUUUUAUUUUAAGAAUCUAAUGUUGAGCACCUAAUUUGAUCAGUCCAAAUGGGUAGAUUAUGGAAGAUGGGGAUAAGCCAUUCUCCUUAUGGUCUUCUUAUUCCUCCAGCUAAUCUGGGCCACCUGGAAUACCAAAGCAUACUUGGCAAAUUCACUCAGAAGCAAUUUCCAGAAUUUCUUUAUCAAGCCUUUCUCUCAACUUAAAAUUUCCUCUUAAAUAGGAAAUCAUUGCUCUUUUGUUUGUUUUUCAAUCUUGGUUUAUAUUAAACAUUGUCAAAUUAAUUCGUAAACCCUGGAAUGGCCAUCAGCUUCCACUUAGGGAGUUAUUCUCUUAUCUUGCACUGUCCCUGUUCCCCCAGAAUCUUAGAAAUGUCACCCUCAAGUGACUAAGAUCAUUAUCUUUACUUUUGAUCUAUUACUCAUCUGACCUUUCCCCCCAAAUACUGAUCUUCAGAUUGGAAAUGAGUAACAUCUCUCAGGCCGGAAUCUCCCUGUUCAUAAAUAGUCUCUAAGGGUGUAGUUCCUGAUAAUCCUUGCUGAGCUUCUUGUGUUUAGUCCUUUCAUCACCCAGAAUUCUGAUUCCAAGUUCUUUCACUCAAACUUCAAAGAGGACUUUGGCUUAUUUCAACGAUUCUAAGUAGAGACAAUGAUAAAUAAGUAUUAACUAUGUUUUUUCUUUUUUUAAUGGUAUAAGUAGAGGAAAAUGUCAAAGUUGGCACAUAGAAGGUAGCUUUGGUAGUCCCAGGUAUCUGGCACUCUCUCCCUAUCUUUCAUUCUCCCACUCUCCCCGUUCUGAAUAUAAUUUUUAGCACCUCUGUACACUUGGGAUACAGAGCCAAGUAUUACUUAAUUCAGUCAUAUUGUUCCAGUAAAGUGAACUGCAGCCCUCCAAAUGAAUUUGUGUAAUCUUGAUAUUCAUUUCAUUCCACAUAUUAACCUUCCAGCCAUAAGGCCCCUGGAAUCACUUUACUCACUUGCUGUUAAAAUUUCCAGAGCUUCACUUACCCUUCAAAUGGACUUAAAUUCAAACGUUUAUUGUCCUUGACAAUUUAGCUGAUUGGAUGUAUUUAGUAGAUGUUCCCUCAUUGAAAACCAUUCACUCACUUAAAAAGCAUGCAUUGAGUACCCAUCCCGUGCCAGGCCCUCUGAUGCGUAAAGACUGGCUGGCUCAUUCCUCCUCUGUGUGCCUCUCUGUGUGUACUGGAAAUGCCUGUCCUUUGUGUGAUUUAGCCAAGGUUGACCAGUACUAAGGAGUUCUGGUGGUACAAUGGUUAAGUGCAACUGAAUGGUUGAUGGUUUGAACCACCAGCCAACCACAUGAGGAAGAUUGGCUGUCUGCUUCCGUAAGGAUUACAGCCUUGGAAACCCUUUGGGGCAGUUCUGCUCUGUCAUAUAGGGUCCCUAUGAGUCAGAAUUGAUUCGAAAGCAUUUUUUUUUCUCUUUUUUGACCGGUACUACCUAUGUUGCUCAGAGCAUACUGUAGUCUCAAUAAAAAUUUUUAUUUUUGAGGACAUCAGUGAGUUGAGCCUUUGUUCAUCUUCUAUGAGCAGUUCAAACUCAGAUUUCAUGGAAGGCACUCAGUAAUAGGGGGAUAAAAUAUGGAUGGCCUAGAAAAUUAGGUACAGAUUUAUAUGACUUGAAGCAGAGAUUAAGGAGUCACUUAAGGUUUUAUACCAGGUGAGGAAUAAACUAAAUUGGGUGUUUCAUAUAGAAAAUAUGGCAGAGACAUUAAGUUUAUUUAGAAAAAGGGUGUGAUAGCAGGAAAUGCUAGUAAAAAAAUUAGUAUUUCAGUUAUGGAGUCAUGGAGACCUGUGUCAGCUUAUACAAUGGGAAGGGAGAGUAUGGGAAGAUCUAAGAGCUACGUCCGAAGAAGAACUAUAGAAAAUGAGUGAAAAAAUUGUGGCAGAAAAUAUAAUAUUCAUUCAAGCCAAUACUAUAGUUUCUAGGAAAGAAUGUUAUGAAUGAAGAUGGAAAGGUCGUAAAUUGCAAAGGUUCUGAAUAGCACAAAGACAACAAACAUGAAUUUUGUCCUACCAGCCUAGCUGGUAUUAGGCUACUGACUUCCCCUCUUGUCUACGUAACUUUACAGAAUUUACCUAAAAUCACUGGUCGCCACCUCCUGUCUUCCCAGUUUGAGUUCUCUGGCACCUACACUCCAUUAAUUCUUCAACCUCAUUGGACCUCCCAGGCAUUGAUGCCCACCACUUUUCCACUAUCUUUUCUUCCCCUUCUUUCUCCACUUUCCACCUCUCCCAGCAUAGAUUCCGUAGUCCCUCAUCAUAGAUCUUUGCGAACAGCUUCAAUCUCUCUCUUCUCUCUCCAUUCAUUAUUGUUAUUGUUGUUGUUGUCGUUGUUAGGUGCCAUCGAGUUGGUUCCGACUCAUAGCGACCCUAAGCACAACAGAAAGAAACACUGCCCGGUCCUGCGCCAUCCUUACAAUCGUUGUUAUGCUUGAGCUCAUUGUUGCAGCUGCUGUGUCAAUCCACCUCGUUGAGGGUCUUCCUCUUUUCCUCUGACCCUGUACUCUGCCAAGCCUGAUGUCCUUCUCCAGGGACUGAUCCCUCCUGACAACAUGUCCAAAGUAUGUAAGACACAGCCUCGCCAUCCU